CCUACGGGAGGCUGCAGUAGGGAAUUUUCGUCAAUGGGCGCAAGCCUGAACGAGCAAUGCCGCGUGAACGAGGAAGGUCUUCGGAUCGUAAAGUUCUGUUGAAGGGGAAAAAGAGCGGAGAGAGGAAAUGAACUCCGAUUGAUAUUACCCUUCGAGGAAGUCACGGCUAACUACGGGCCAGCAGCCGCGGUAAUACGUAGGUGGCGCGCGUUAUACGGAAUGAAGGGGCGUAAAGGGUGCGUAGGCGGCCUGCUAAGACAGAGGUGAAAGGUACCGGCUCAACCGGUACAGGCUCUGGAAACUGGCGGGCUAGAGAGCAGGAGAGGGCGGGGGAACUCCAUGUGUAGCGGUAAAAUGCGUAGAUAUAUGGAAGAACACCAGUGGCGAAGGCGGCCGCCUGGCCUGUUACUGACGCUGAGGCACGAAAGCGUGGGGAGCAAAUAGGAUUAGAUACCCGAGUAGUC
This 464-nucleotide ribosomal RNA is filed under the name uncultured bacterium. RNAcentral describes it as "partial 16S ribosomal RNA". It matches the Rfam family "Bacterial small subunit ribosomal RNA", at positions 338 to 795 of the family's 1533-position model. The record is from RNAcentral.